RNAcentral lists this ribosomal RNA (522 nucleotides) under Carabus pyrenaeus pyrenaeus. RNAcentral's name for it is "partial 16S ribosomal RNA". The stretch from base 396 to 522 matches the Rfam family "Bacterial large subunit ribosomal RNA", at positions 2473 to 2599 of the family's 2925-position model. The record is from RNAcentral. Lineage: Eukaryota; Metazoa; Arthropoda; Insecta; Coleoptera; Carabidae.
GUCCUUUUGAAUUUUUAUUUAAGGUCUAGUCUGCCCACUGAAUUUAUAUUUUAAAUGGCCGCAGUAUUUUGACUGUGCAAAGGUAGCAUAAUCAUUAGUUUUUUAAUUAAAAGCUUGUAUGAAAGGCUGGACGAGGUAAAAUCUGUCUCUAUUUAAAUUAUAAUAGAAUUUAACUUUUAAGUUAAAAGGCUUAAAUGUUAUUAAAAGACGAGAAGACCCUAUAGAUCUUUAUAAUUUAUUAAAUAAAAUUUAUUUAGAAUUAUUUAUGUUUUAUUUAAUUAAAUUAUUUUAUUGGGGUAAUAGAAAGAUUGAAUUAAUUCUUUUUUAUAAUAAACAUUAAUUUAUGAAUAUUAAAUGAUCCAGUUUUACUGAUUAUAAGAUUAAGUUACCUUAGGGAUAACAGCGUAAUUUUUUUAGAGAGUUCAUAUCGAUAAAAAAGUUUGCGACCUCGAUGUUGGAUUAAAGAUUAUUUUAGGUGUAGAAGCUUAAUAAUUUUGGUCUGUUCGACCAUUAAAUCUUUAC